Molecule: long non-coding RNA, 678 nt
Filed under: Scleropages formosus (Asian bonytongue)
Lineage: Eukaryota; Metazoa; Chordata; Actinopteri; Osteoglossiformes; Osteoglossidae
Description: lncRNA (ENSSFOG00015027375.1)
Source: RNAcentral
GGGGCGAGGGGGAGGGGGGGGACCACCCGGGCAUCUGGUUCACGCUCUUUCUGCUCUGGUUUCAUUUCGCACCAACAGCUUCAGUAACCGACAUCGGUGCAGGUGCUUCCAUUUACCUGUCAGGAAAGGCGGAGGAAAAAGAAGAGGACGAACAGCAGCCGGAGGGAUGGACGUCACAGGGACAGUGGACGCAUCUCUACGGUGCUGAGAAAUGUUGGACAGAACUUUCCGGAAGGACGUUUUCUAUGUGGUCAACAGGAGUUGAUAUCUGUUCAACAACACUCCACAGUUAUCAGCCACCCCUCCCCCCCCCACACACACAUUCCAUAACAGUCAGACACUGUAGCUAUGAUAGCUAUGAUAAAUGUAAAAACUGAUAGAUAGAUAGAUAGAUAGAUAGAUAGAUAGAUAGAUAGAUAGGGACAGAAGUGUUUACAACAGGCAUCAAGUUUGGGCCUCAUCAUGUUCUUCUGUCCCUCACAGCUGCUGAAUCCCUCCCACACCACCAUAAAGUUUGCUGACGAUACCACCAUUGUGGGUCUGAUCACCAACAACGAUGAGACGGCCUACAGAGAGGAGGUGAUGCUCCUGGCAGAGUGGUCCUGGACCUGUCUUUCAAUGUCAGUAAAACUAAGGAGCUGGUGACUGACUUCAGGAAACAGGAUACGGUUCAGGCAC